UACGUAGGCGGAAAAUUAAGUCAGUAGUGAAAUCCUGCAGCUUAACUGUAGAACUGUUAUUGAUACUGGUUUUCUUGAAUAUAGUUGAAGUAGGCGGAAUGUGUAAUGUAGCGGUGAAAUGCUUAGAUAUUACACAGAACACCGAUUGCGAAGGCAGCUUACUAAGCUAUGAUUGACGCUGAGGUGCGAAAGCGUGGGGAGCGAACAGGAUUAGAUACCCUGGUAGUCC
RNAcentral lists this ribosomal RNA (229 nucleotides) under uncultured bacterium. Its description in RNAcentral is "partial 16S ribosomal RNA". It matches the Rfam family "Bacterial small subunit ribosomal RNA", at positions 568 to 796 of the family's 1533-position model. The record is from RNAcentral.